RNAcentral lists this ribosomal RNA (650 nucleotides) under uncultured bacterium. RNAcentral describes it as "bacterial SSU rRNA". It matches the Rfam family "Bacterial small subunit ribosomal RNA", at positions 43 to 737 of the family's 1533-position model. The record is from RNAcentral.
GAGGCCUAACACAUGCAAGUCGAACGCGUGUAGCAAUACACGAGUGGCGCACGGGUGAGUAACGCGUGGAUAUCUGCCUUUUGGUUCGGAAUAACCCCGGGAAACUGGGGCUAAUACCGGAUGGUUCCUUCGGGAUAAAGAUUUAUCGCCAAAAGAUGAGUCCGCGUACGAUUAGCUAGUUGGUGAGGUAAUGGCUCACCAAGGCGACGAUCGUUAGCUGGUCUGAGAGGACGAUCAGCCACACUGGGACUGAGACACGGCCCAGACUCCUACGGGAGGCAGCAGUGGGGAAUAUUGGACAAUGGGGGCAACCCUGAUCCAGCCAUGCCGCGUGAGUGAUGAAGGCCUUCGGGUUGUAAAGCUCUUUUGGCGGGGACGAUGAUGACGGUACCCGCAGAAUAAGCCCCGGCUAACUUCGUGCCAGCAGCCGCGGUAAGACGAAGGGGGCUAGCGUUGUUCGGAAUUACUGGGCGUAAAGCGCGUGUAGGCGGUUGUUCAAGUCGGGUGUGGAAGCCUUGAGCUCAACUCAAGAAAUGCACUCGGUACUGGAUGACUAGAGGACCGGAGAGGAUAGUGGAAUUCCCAGUGUAGUGGUGAAAUACGUAGAGAUUGGGAAGAACACCAGUGGCGAAGGCGGCUAUCUGGACGGU